Molecule: ribosomal RNA, 442 nt
Filed under: Elytroderma sp. T6N15b(B)
Lineage: Eukaryota; Fungi; Ascomycota; Leotiomycetes; Rhytismatales; Rhytismataceae
Also listed under: 3 other names
Description: eukaryotic LSU rRNA
Rfam family: 5.8S ribosomal RNA (bases 131-284)
Source: RNAcentral
CAUUAAAGAAUUACGGGCUUUCGGGCCUCUAUUCUCACCCUUUGUUUACCACACUUUGUUGCCUUGGCGCCUAGCGCCAGCGGAUCAAAACCCUUGAAUCAUUGCUGUCUGAGUACUAUAUAAUAGUUAAAACUUUCAACAACGGAUCUCUUGGUUCUGGCAUCGAUGAAGAACGCAGCGAAAUGCGAUAAGUAAUGUGAAUUGCAGAAUUCAGUGAAUCAUCGAAUCUUUGAACGCACAUUGCGCCCCCUGGUAUUCCGGGGGGCAUGCCUGUUCGAGCGUCAUUACAACCCUCAAGCUCAGCUUGGUGUUGGGCUCGCCCCGCUUACCCGGGGCUUGCCUCAAAAUCAGUAGCGGCCGCCGUCCGACCUUCAGCGCAGUAAUACUCGUCGCUCGGAGGGAAAGACGGUAUCGUUAACCCGAACCCCCACACAAGGUUGAC